GACGAACGCUGGCGGCGUGCUUAACACAUGCAAGUCGAACGGAAAGGCCCUGCUUGCAGGGUACUCGAGUGGCGAACGGGUGAGUAACACGUGGGUGAUCUGCCCUGCACUUCGGGAUAAGCCUGGGAAACUGGGUCUAAUACCGGAUAGGAGCCAUUUUUAGUGUGAUGGUUGGAAAGUUUUUUCGGUGUAGGAUGAGCUCGCGGCCUAUCAGCUUGUUGGUGGGGUAAUGGCCUACCAAGGCGGCGACGGGUAGCCGGCCUGAGAGGGUGGACGGCCACAUUGGGACUGAGAUACGGCCCAGACUCCUAAGGGAGGCAGCAGUGGGGAAUAUUGCACAAUGGGCGCAAGCCUGAUGCAGCGACGCCGCGUGGGGGAUGACGGCCUUCGGGUUGUAAACUCCUUUCGCUAGGGACGAAGCUUUUUGUGACGGUACCUAGAUAAGAAGCACCGGCUAACUACGUG
RNAcentral lists this ribosomal RNA (465 nucleotides) under uncultured bacterium. RNAcentral describes it as "partial 16S ribosomal RNA". It matches the Rfam family "Bacterial small subunit ribosomal RNA", at positions 28 to 507 of the family's 1533-position model. The record is from RNAcentral.